This is a transfer RNA of Camelus ferus (Wild Bactrian camel), 72 nucleotides long. It matches the Rfam family "tRNA". Rfam says of the family: Transfer RNA (tRNA) molecules are approximately 80 nucleotides in length. Their secondary structure includes four short double-helical elements and three loops (D, anti-codon, and T loops). NCBI's taxonomy places the organism in Eukaryota, Metazoa, Chordata, Mammalia, Artiodactyla, Camelidae. The record is from Rfam.
GAGGGUACAGCUCAGUGGUAGAGCGCAUGCUUAGCAUGCAUGAGGUCCUGGGUUCAAUCCCCAGUACCUCCA